RNAcentral lists this ribosomal RNA (72 nucleotides) under Colletotrichum gloeosporioides. RNAcentral's name for it is "partial 28S ribosomal RNA". It matches the Rfam family "Eukaryotic large subunit ribosomal RNA", at positions 1 to 66 of the family's 3401-position model. The record is from RNAcentral. Lineage: Eukaryota; Fungi; Ascomycota; Sordariomycetes; Glomerellales; Glomerellaceae.
AAAGGUUGACCUCGGAUCAGGUAGGAAUACCCGCUGAACUUAAGCAUAUCAAUAAGCGGAGGAAAUCGAAUU